RNAcentral lists this long non-coding RNA (1822 nucleotides) under Olea europaea subsp. europaea. Lineage: Eukaryota; Viridiplantae; Streptophyta; Magnoliopsida; Lamiales; Oleaceae. The record is from RNAcentral.
AUAUGGGAGCAUGUUCAAGUAAUAUAAAUGUCACGUCUCUAUGAAAUUACUAUUAAUAUUGUGUACUUUGAUGCUGCAAAAGUUUGACGUUGAUACUUGUCAUAGAAAAUACAUCAUGCAAAAAAAGUGAAAGAAUUGGCGAGAUCAUCGAUGUAAUUUGUUUAAAGCAAUCAAUAACAAAGGAAAAACAAUUAGCUCCUGCUCUCCUCAAGCCCGAUAAUGUUGAAUCAAUGGAAGAAUGGCAAGCAUUUGUCAAAUAACGCAAUUCUCAACCAUAUAAGGUAAGCUUUCAUUGCUUUUGUAUAUUGAUUGUGCUUUGCAACAUACAGCUUAUUGCAUCUGUGAUAUAUUCACCACAACAUUUGUGCCCAUUAUAAUGUGCAUAAAUGAUUGUGUAGGAAAAGAAUGAAAGAUUCAAAAAUAUGAGAGCAAGUCAAACCAUGAUGCAUACAACAAGUAGAAAGGUUUUUGCUCGCUUAGAAGUUGAAAUGGUAAAAAAUUGUUAAAUUAAAGUUAAAUUUGUUUGAAAAAUUAUAAAUGUUAUACAAACUACCACACAUGAAAUGUGUAAAAUGCAGCGUGCUAAAAGUGAAGAUCCUGAUUCGAUAACGAGAGAUGAUGUUUAUAUUCGAGGACAUACACAAAAAAAUGGUGAACCUAUUAAUGAAUCGGUUGGGAAAACAUUGGUAACAAUAUUGCUUUUAGUAAUUUUGUAUCAUUCAAAGCUUAUAUUAGCUAAUUUUAGCUCAUUAAUGUAUUUCCUCAUAUCAGAAUAAAAUAAAAGCAUAUUCAGAGACAAUUUCUCUCCAAGCAAACACUCACUUGAAGGUGAUGGUGUUGCAAAAGUACUUGGUCCAGAACGUCCAGGACGAGUAAGAGGUCUUGGUUUCGAUGCGACUCCUUCAAAGUUGAAUGCUUUGGUGCACAAUCAUAACUUGCAAACUCAAGUUCAAAAGUUGAGGGAUGAAAUUAAAGAAUUAAAAGCUCUAUUUCAAGUGAAGAGUAAAAGUGCUGAAUAAGAAGAUAAUGUAAGUGGAAAUCUAGAAUCAAUAAAUGUUAUUUUAAAUUAUAUAUACUUUCUAUAUUCAAAAUAAUAAAUUGUACAAUUGAAUAUUAAUUUUACAGUCUAGAGAUAGAAGCUUGAAUGGUUUAGAUAACCUUCAAAAUAAGAAGUGCAAAUUGUUAUCUUGGUUUGGGAAAGUUGAUAUUGUUGCAAAAGGUGAAAUCGCAUCAACAAAUCCAAAUGAUCUAGUGCAUCAUGUACCCCUUGGUAAUGAACGUUGGAGAGUUUGGAUUAAUGAAGUGAUCGAUAAUGUCAUCUUAUAUCGUCCCACGCGUGAGCUUUUUCUUCUUGAAGAGCAUUAGGAAGUACAAUUACAUGACCAAGUAGGUAUAUCGAAGUGGAUUCGCUAUAAUCACAACGAAGGUAUGCUUAACUUCCUUUCUAUUUUAAUCUCAUUUACCUUUAUGUUCGGUCUCAAUUGAAGAUAGGGUUGUUUAAUAUAUUUCUUGAUACACUUUUGAUUUGGAUGCUUAUUAAUUAUAUCCUUAUUAUUUCUGUGGUGUGUAGGGGAUAUCCAUAUUUUGUGGGGUAGCUAAAUUGUCGGUCAAAGAAGUGAACUUUGAUAUGUUUAAUAAUUUUUUGUUAUAUGACAGAACCUCAAUAUCCACGGGCUUAUUAGUUGAAUGGCAAUUGGCACAUACAAUAGUAGUCAAAAAAUUUUGAGAAUUGUUUAGAUGAAUUUUACAUUGGCAUAUUAAAUUGAACCGUACUCAAUAUUUCUUUUUAUCGAAACAAUCGAAAACUUGAUUAUAUAUGGAG